UAGAAGUCGUAAUAAAAUAAUUUGAAUAUAAAGCUAUGUUUUAAAGUAAAUAAAGACCAUUUAACGAUGUUAACAUGAUGAGACAUCGAUUUUAUGGAAUGGAGGAGAAGAUUUAACAGCUAGAAAUUAACAAAAAUCCUGCAAGAGCAUCGAGAUCUCGCUUUUGGCGAGUGGAAGUCCAAAGGCAAAGUGCAGCGGUUUGCAGUUCUUAGCCUCACUUUUUUGGACCUAACAAGACAGGAAAAGAAUAGUCAAAGAGGAAACCCGAGUAGCCAGAUGAUAAUAUAUGAAACCAUGAGCAGCCAGCCAUUGAAACUCUCAGCAAUUUGAAUAACAAUUUUGAUUGAUUACCAAUCAUGUAUCAUACCUAUUAAUAGAAAAUUAAAACUGUUAGGUACCUAUGUUUUAAUUGAA
Molecule: long non-coding RNA, 414 nt
Organism: Ostrinia nubilalis (European corn borer)
Lineage: Eukaryota; Metazoa; Arthropoda; Insecta; Lepidoptera; Crambidae
Exons: 3
Source: RefSeq, a predicted model, not a curated record